RNAcentral lists this small RNA (367 nucleotides) under Arabidopsis thaliana (thale cress). RNAcentral's name for it is "ATSL288760". The record is from RNAcentral. Lineage: Eukaryota; Viridiplantae; Streptophyta; Magnoliopsida; Brassicales; Brassicaceae.
AGCAUGUGUAAGCUAUGACUCCUAUUGUGAAUCUAAGUUGCGUGUAUGGAUUCUACACGAUGUUGAGAAAGAAGAAUAGUCAAGCAUCAUGACUUGUGUUGUGCCUUGUGACAAGGAGCUAUCUUUGUGCAGUGGAGAGAGUCAUAACAACGAGGUUGUAGUGGUAUCUAGAUGCUUAAAGUCAUCUAAGCACUUUUUUGUUUACUAUUUCGAUAUGGUCAGAGAGAGUAUCAUCAGAAGAAUUGAGGUUGAGAUUGAUGGAAUCGCCGAUUAUGAGUUUAGACAUAUCAAUGGAAUUGGUAAACAUGCUCCUAGGAUUUUGUGUUUCCCUGGUCACAUUGAGAAUCUUAUGUACUUGUAAGUUCUA